Molecule: ribosomal RNA, 386 nt
Filed under: uncultured bacterium
Lineage: Bacteria
Description: bacterial SSU rRNA
Rfam family: Bacterial small subunit ribosomal RNA
Source: RNAcentral
CCUGAACGCUGGCGGCGUGGCUAAGACAUGCAAGUCGCACGGAGGUAGCAAUACCUCAGUGGCGAACGGGUGAGUAAUGAAUCGCUAAUGUGCCCCCGGACUCUGAGAUAGCUGGCCGAAAGGCCAGGUAAUAUCAGAUGAUAUAACCGAACCGCAUGGUUUGGUUCUCAAAGGUCCGCCGGUCUGGGAGCAGGCGAUUUCGUAUCAGCUAGUUGGUGAGGUAACGGCUCACCAAGGCGACGACGGGUAGCCGGCCUGAGAGGGCGACCGGCCACACUGGGACUGAGACACGGCCCAGACUCCUACGGGAGGCAGCAGUGGGGAAUCUUGCGCAAUGGGCGAAAGCCUGACGCAGCGACGCCGCGUGAGGGAUGACGGCCUGGUGU